GGUAUAGGGAUGUGUGUGUAUAGUGGUGAUGGUGGUGUGUGGUGUGGGGGGGUGUGUGUGGUGGAGAGAGUGUGUGUAUGAGAGUGUGUAUGUAGUGAGUGAUGGUGGUGAAUGUGUGUAGUGGUGAUGGUGGUGUUUGUGUGGUGUGGGGUGUGUGUGUGUAGUGGUGAUGGUGGUGUUUGUGUGGUGUGGGGGGUGUGUGUGUGUGGUGAGUGGUGGUGAAUGUGUGUGUAGUGGUGAUGGUAUGUGUGGUGUGGGGGGUGUGUGUGGGGGGUGAGUGGUGGUGGUGUAUGUUUGGUGUGUGUGGUGUGUGUGUGUGGUGAGUGGUGGUGAAUGUGUGUGUGUAGUGGUGACGGUAUGUGUGGUGUGGGGUGAGUGGUGAUGGUGGUUGUGUGGUGUGUGUGUGUGUGUGUGGUGAGUGGUGGUGAAUGUGUGUGUGUAGUGGUGACGGUAUGUGUGGUGUGGGGUGAGUGGUGAUGGUUGUGUGGUGUGUGUGUGUGUGUGUGUGGUGAGGUGGUGGUAAAUGUGUGUGUAGUGGUGAUGGUAUGUUUGUGUGGUGUGGUGUGUGUGUGUGUGGAGUGGUGGUGAAUGUGUGUGUGUAGUGGUGAUGGUAUGUGUGGUGUGGGGGUGUGUGUGUGUGUGGUGAGUGGUGGUGUGGUGGUGGUGAAUAUGUGUGUGUAGUGGUGAUGGUGGUAUGUUUGUGUGGUGUGUGUGUGGUGUGGGGUGUGUGUGUGUGGUGAGUGGUGGGGUGGUGGUGAAUGUGUGUAGUGGUGAUGGUGGUGUUUGUGUGGUGUGGGGGGUGUUUGUGUGGUGUGGGGUGUGUGUGUGUAGUGGUGAUGGUGGUGUUUGUGUGGUGUGGGGGGUGUUUGUGUGGUGUGGGGUGUGUGUGCGUGGUGAGUGGUGGUGGUGAAUGUGUGUAUAGUGGUGAUGGUGUUUGUGUGGUGCGGGGUGUGUGUGUGUAGUGGUGAUGGUGGUGUUUGUGUGGUGUGGGGGGUGUGUGUGUGUGUGUGGUGUGGGGUGUGUGUGUGUGGUGAGUGGUGGUGGUGAAUGUGUGUGUGGUAGUGAUGGGGCAGGCUGAGGGCUGAGCCAGAGAAGGCAUGGAGAUGAGACAACUCCAGAGGGUAUGUAAGGGGAGGUGAGUGGUGGGAGGUGAGCUAGGAAGGCAUUUUUAAUGUUGACCCAUACUCUCUAAUCAAGACAAUGACAGUUUUGCAGCUGUUCCUCUUCCUAAGCUCAUGUGAGGAUUUUGGGUUAGAAUCACUGUGUUCUUCUCCGCAGGCCGAAGCUCCCUAGCGCUGGGGCCUCCACUCUGGGAAGGGCCCUGUGGGUGAAUCUCUGAGCGUUUACUGGGCUCCUUCUCUACCUGGGCUGCCGCACCCAGAACAGUUCUUAGAGUUUCCAGCCUCCUGAGCUCGCGGAAUAGCAAAGAAGAAUCAGAAAUGUUUCAAAUACAGCUAAGACCGUCUUUGGUUCCACCCAACACUUUCUCCUCAUGAGUGAUGGUAAUGUCCUGAUGAAUUUCUGCUUGGAAACAACUGGACUCAGUCAGUUGAGAAAUGACAGAGCUCAUAUGCACAACACCUUGAAGCCUUCCUUCAGCAAUGCGGACGAUACACACAACCUUCAACACUUCAGAGAGAAUCCUCCGUGAUGAUGUAUGCUCAAGUAUUUUGGUGUGAGAUGUCAUGAUACCUAUAACUUACUUAUUAAAAAUUCAGGCCAGGCACAGUGGCUCAUGCC
RNAcentral lists this long non-coding RNA (1740 nucleotides) under Homo sapiens (human). RNAcentral's name for it is "HSALNT0065756". The record is from RNAcentral. Lineage: Eukaryota; Metazoa; Chordata; Mammalia; Primates; Hominidae.